Molecule: long non-coding RNA, 3572 nt
Organism: Eriocheir sinensis (Chinese mitten crab)
Lineage: Eukaryota; Metazoa; Arthropoda; Malacostraca; Decapoda; Varunidae
Exons: 5
Source: RefSeq, a predicted model, not a curated record
CUGAGAUCCUGUUUAUAUUCAAGUCCACAAAUUUGACGACACAAUACAGGAAAAGCUCUUUGUAUUUAGUGUGUCAUCGAAGACCGCGCCAUUUUGAACAGUAUGGGAUUCUAUAGCUUGGUUCGGGAGUGUUACAAAGACCAUGAUGGACUGUGGAAGCGGCCCUUAAUGUUCCCUUUUCUAAUAUGCCUCUCUGUUUUUGCAGGAUGCCGCGGACGGACCAUGCAGAGGACUCAUCGCGACGACACCAACGGUUUGGUUAAGUGGGUUCUCUUGUGUGUGCGUCUGUGUGUGAAUGGCAGGCCUGUCGUAUGAUUGUGUGUGUGUGUGCGUUGGCGUUAUGCCUUCGCACUAUUAUUUUGUUAGGAUGUAUUUUUUUGUGUGUGAACUUUUUGCACGUAAUCUUUUUUUAUACCCAUAGCUAGCGUUUGUUUGUGUGGCAGUGUUCCGGGAGAUGGACGCCGGGGGACAUGGGCUUGGGGAGGCGCACAUGACCUCCUCUGUCCGUGACCUCUUCAGCUGGGGAGACCGUGUGUUGCCCCGCCUGGAGAGACACGUUGAUGGAGGUGGCCGUGUGUGUCACCCUUUGCCUGUAUCCUCUGGCGUCCAGAGGCGCGUAAGUGGAGAGCAUCGGCGCAGCGCGGGAGCAUCACGUCAGGGUGUAGGGUGUUUGUUUAGCUGGUGUAGGGAGCUUAGGGUGUUAGGGUGUUAGGUGUAACAACGGUUGGCUCUUUCACAGAACGGGUGUGAUUCCGUUCUGCGUUUGAGUCUUCCACCUUCAGACGGUCUCCCUCUGAGAUGUCUGAAGUUUUUUUGUCGGUUUUCUCCGUAGGAGGAAGCCGACUCUAGCUACUCUGGCCUCUCUUCCGGGGGUCAGAGCGGUCGGGCUCUGCUUGGCCAGGCGUUGCCUUUCGCGUUGUCUCCGCCGACGUUUUGCCAGACUCUUCCGUACGGUUGAGCCUGGCUUUUUUAUUAGGUGGAUCAGGCUGCCUUCUUCCAAGGAGUCUGAUGGGAGUGGAGUCUUUUUUUUGGUGUAUGUCUGUGGGUACUUAGUGGGUAAGGGAGGGUGGGGUAGAAUGGUUGGUGGGCUGGAAGUGGGUUGGGGGAUGAGCCUCCUGGGAUUUGGGUUGUGUCGAGCCUUACCGCCUGGUGUGUUGGGUAACCUUCACGCCAGGGGGGGGGUGCCAAGACUAUAUCCAUCUCCUGGGCAGGGCGAUUCCCCUUUCCCAUGCUAACUGGCCCUCCUCCGUCUGCCUCCCCAAACCCCCGCUAAGUGCUUGUGUGUGUUAUUUUAUUUAGGAUGUCUUUUUUUUCUAUGCCUUUUUCCCGUGUGUUUAUACCCAAUAGCUAGCGUGUGUGUGUGUGUGUGGCAGUCCGGAGGCGCGUGCAGCGAGGACAUCACAUCACGUCACUACGGUAUAUCCACGGUAUUUGGUUUAGUGUGUGCUGUGUGUGUUUGUGUGUGUGAUGGCAGGCCUGCCGUGUGUUUGACCUUUUGCUGUGUGUUGCUGUGUGACUGCUAGGAUUUCAUUUCUAUGCAUGUUUUUUUCCCCAUAACCCCCUUCCUCCCUAGCUCUUUAGCUGUUGGCGCUGGGUGGAUGCUGCCGGGUGACCAACGGCGGUGGCGGUGUGCAACGCGGGAGCUGCUGAGGUUUGGGGUAGCACUACGGUGCAGGUUAUGUAGGGUGUGUGAGUUUUUUUUUUGUGUGAGUGUCUUUUUUUUGUGUGGGGUGUUGGCGGGGGACUUAGCUAAUCACUGUGUCAGGAAGGCAUGGGCGUGGCCGUCUGUCCAUCAGGCCGACGGGCGGGUGUGCCACCUGGCAGUCAGGCUAGCAGGUGACAGGCAAGCUAUUUGGUGGUCAGGCUGUCAGUCGGGCCAUCAGAUAGGUAGGCAGGCCACCUUGCGGUCGGGUUGUCGGGCGGGCACCCCACCCUCGGUCAGGUAGGCAGGCAGCAGCGUCUACGCUGAGCCGUACGGCUACACGUACGAACGCACGGAACCCGUACGCUACGUUCCGCUGCACUGACGCUCGUCGUACCUCUGCUCGCACGCUUGCGGGCGGGUUGGGGGCGGGGGGCGGAUGGGCGGACGGGCGGGCGUACGUGGGAACGGGCGGGCGGACGGGUGGUCGGGCGGUUAGGGAGUCGGAGCAACGCUUGAAAGACGCGCAGAUAGAUGUCAGAUUCUCCCGUAGGGAGGUCUGGCAAGGUGAUAGUUUAGGCGGCGGAGUUGUACGCGGGCCAGUCUGUGUUACAGCUUUGCCGUCAGGGUAGCUCCUUACGAGCUGCCCAAACUGAGGACCAGUUUUCCUCACAGGAGGAGGCUGGUGGGGCCUAGGGUGUUAGGGGUACAACGGUUGGCUCUUUCACAGAACGGGUGUUUUCCGUUCUGCGUUUGAGUCUGCCGCCUUUGGGCGUCUCCCUCUGAGAUGUCGGUUAGGAUUUCUUUUUUUUAUAUGUCCGUGUGUGUAACUGUUGCCUUUUAGCCUGUUGUGUUCCUGAGCAGCAAGAAGAGGCGGCUGUGGUGACCCGCCCGAUGCGGAAGGCUUCUGGGCCCUGUCGGCGGGGGCGCACCUCUCUGGCUGACUGGUUGACCAGGCUUUGACCAGGUGGCUAGGGAGGCGCAUCCUCGCUGGGCGGGGUCUGGGGGCCCUCCGUCUUGGGGAGGUCGCUGCAGCAGGAGGAGGUAACUACUGCUGGUUUUGUAAGGCAUUGUGGUUGAGAGCACCUUGCAGCUGUAACGCGAAUUUCGUUCCGUAAUAAACAAUGUACCGCCAUGCUGCCUGUCCUUCCUCCCUCCCAGCACUGUGUACGUCUGUGUGUGUGUGUGUGUUGCUUAAUUCUCCCUCACUGCACUGUGCGUACGUCUGUGUGUGUGUGUUGCUCUGUCUCUGUCUCUCUAUCUCUGUCUCUGUCUGUCUCUCUAUCUCUCAAUCUCUCUCUGUGUCUUUCUCUCUCUCUCUCUCUCUAGUUAGUAAAGAACAGGCAACGUUUGCCAUGGAAGACUCUACAGUAUACAUAAGACUACAGUGUACAUCCCAACCCUCUACGGCCGUUGCUGCUCCACCCGGGCAUUACCACAUCCACCCGGGUCUACAAGAAACCUCCACGGCCGAGCCUCAACCACAGAACACACCGCUACCGUUGAUGAGGUUCCACACCCCGGACUACCGCCAUGUUAGCCUCGAUAAUAGUCCUCGGCGCACUUAUUCUGAGACGUCCUGACUGGAGAGCUACACAACACUGGUCAUCCGCUGAGUGGUUGAAUUCCUGGUCUACCGGCCCCUGGAGGAGUGGUCGAUUGCCUGGUCUACCGUGGAUAUGAGUGGUUGAUUCCCUGGUCUACCCCUGGAUGACGCAGCUGUUCCUAUGCAGGGGAAGACUCACACAAGCGAUAAGCACCUGUCAGACCUGGAGACUCCCCCCUGAGCCUGACGGUGGAGCUGUGGGCCCUGCACCAGACCCCCACACCCCCCCACACCACCCACAGCAGGGGCAGGGCGUUGAGACUACCCCCACAGGCUAAGACAGGGAGGGACUUGAAGAUCCAGGUUUUUGUCAUCUGCACAGAA